RNAcentral lists this ribosomal RNA (253 nucleotides) under uncultured bacterium. RNAcentral describes it as "partial 16S ribosomal RNA". It matches the Rfam family "Bacterial small subunit ribosomal RNA", at positions 524 to 776 of the family's 1533-position model. The record is from RNAcentral.
UACGUAGGUGGCAAGCGUUGUCCGGAUUUACUGGGCGUAAAGGGCGUGCAGGCGGUUUGUUAAGUGCAGGGUGAAAGCUCCCGGCUCAACUGGGAGAGGUCCUUGCAUACUGGCGAACUCGAGGGAGGCAGAGGAAAGUGGAAUUCCCGGUGUAGUGGUGAUAUGCGUAGAUAUCGGGAGGAACACCUGUGGCGAAGGCGGCUUUCUGGGCCUUACCUGACGCUGAGACGCGAAAGCUAGGGGAGCAAACAGG